Molecule: ribosomal RNA, 507 nt
Filed under: uncultured bacterium
Lineage: Bacteria
Description: bacterial SSU rRNA
Rfam family: Bacterial small subunit ribosomal RNA
Source: RNAcentral
CCAGACUCCUACGGGAGGCAGCAGUAGGGAAUCUUCGGCAAUGGACGGAAGUCUGACCGAGCAACGCCGCGUGAGUGAAGAAGGUUUUCGGAUCGUAAAGCUCUGUUGUAAGAGAAGAACGAGUGUGAGAGUGGAAAGUUCACACUGUGACGGUAUCUUACCAGAAAGGGACGGCUAACUACGUGCCAGCAGCCGCGGUAAUACGUAGGUCCCGAGCGUUGUCCGGAUUUAUUGGGCGUAAAGCGAGCGCAGGCGGUUAGAUAAGUUUGAAGUUAAAGGCUGUGGCUUAACCAUAGUACGCUUUGGAAACUGUUUAACUUGAGUGCAAGAGGGGAGAGUGGAAUUCCAUGUGUAGCGGUGAAAUGCGUAGAUAUAUGGAGGAACACCGGUGGCGAAAGCGGCUCUCUGGCUUGUAACUGACGCUGAGGCUCGAAAGCGUGGGGAGCAAACAGGAUUAGAUACCCUGGUAGUCCACGCCGUAAACGAUGAGUGCUAGGUGUUAGACCC